UGGGGAAUAUUGGACAAUGGGCGCAAGCCUGAUCCAGCCAUGCCGCGUGAGCGAUGAAGGCCCUAGGGUUGUAAAGCUCUUUCACCGGUGAAGAUAAUGACGGUAACCGGAGAAGAAGCCCCGGCUAACUUCGUGCCAGCAGCCGCGGUAAUACGAAGGGGGCUAGCGUUGUUCGGAUUUACUGGGCGUAAAGCGCACGUAGGCGGACUAUUAAGUCAGGGGUGAAAUCCCGGGGCUCAACCCCGGAACUGCCUUUGAUACUGGUAAUCUUGAGUUCGUGAGAGGUGAGUGGAAUUCCGAGUGUAUAGGUGAAAUUCGUAGAUAUUCGGAGGAACACCAGUGGCGAAGGCGGCUCACUGGCUCGAUACUCACGCUGAGGUGCGAAAGCGUGGGGAGCAAACAUG
Molecule: ribosomal RNA, 404 nt
Filed under: Actinomycetes bacterium
Lineage: Bacteria; Bacillati; Actinomycetota; Actinomycetes
Description: Actinobacteria bacterium partial 16S ribosomal RNA
Rfam family: Bacterial small subunit ribosomal RNA
Source: RNAcentral